This 106-nucleotide transfer RNA is filed under the name Muribaculaceae bacterium. RNAcentral's name for it is "tRNA-Gly". It matches the Rfam family "tRNA". From Rfam's summary of the family: Transfer RNA (tRNA) molecules are approximately 80 nucleotides in length. Their secondary structure includes four short double-helical elements and three loops (D, anti-codon, and T loops). The record is from RNAcentral. Lineage: Bacteria; Pseudomonadati; Bacteroidota; Bacteroidia; Bacteroidales; Muribaculaceae.
GCGACAGUAGCUCAGUUGGUUGCCGUGGGCUGCGUAGCAGUCCGCGGGCGUAGCAGCACUCAGCUUCCCAAGCUGAGGGUCGCGGGUUCGACCCCCGUCUGUCGCU